Molecule: transfer RNA, 67 nt
Filed under: Rhabdomys chakae
Lineage: Eukaryota; Metazoa; Chordata; Mammalia; Rodentia; Muridae
Description: tRNA-Pro
Rfam family: tRNA
About the family: Transfer RNA (tRNA) molecules are approximately 80 nucleotides in length. Their secondary structure includes four short double-helical elements and three loops (D, anti-codon, and T loops). Further hydrogen bonds mediate the characteristic L-shaped molecular structure. tRNAs have two regions of fundamental functional importance: the anti-codon, which is responsible for specific mRNA codon recognition, and the 3' end, to which the tRNAs corresponding amino acid is attached (by aminoacyl-tRNA synthetases). tRNAs cope with the degeneracy of the genetic code in two manners: having more than one tRNA (with a specific anti-codon) for a particular amino acid; and 'wobble' base-pairing, i.e. permitting non-standard base-pairing at the 3rd anti-codon position.
Source: RNAcentral
CAGGAAGUAGUUUAAUUAGAACGUCAGCUUUGGGUGCUGAUAGUGAGGAGGAUUAUCCUCUUCUUGA